Molecule: long non-coding RNA, 3056 nt
Organism: Stegostoma tigrinum
Lineage: Eukaryota; Metazoa; Chordata; Chondrichthyes; Orectolobiformes; Stegostomatidae
Exons: 4
Source: RefSeq, a predicted model, not a curated record
UUGCGGUCUUCCGGUUAAAUUAAGGAAAUAACUUUCACAUUAUUCAAAUUGAAGCCUCUGAGCACGAACUUAUUGUCAUUAAAAUGCAGCUAAAUAUUUUCUAACUGAAGUCAACAAGUCUCCAUUUUCUCACCAUUCGCUGAAAUUCUGCACGGUCAUUUGUUACAAUUGUUGAAAAAUCCAAUAAUGAAUAUAUGCAAUAUUCAUCUUACCUUUGCAACAGCAUCUGUGGUUUUGCUUGGAUCAUCGCUCGCUCAAUUUGGAAAUAGCGCGAUUUGUUAUUUCGCGAGCAAUAUUGUCCCAAACUGAUAGCCGUCGGUUAACCCGCGGCCGCAGACUAGCUGGGUUAUGCAUCAGUCAUUUACACGGAAAUCGGAAUUCGAGCCUCUUUGAAAAAUGAUAUCAUCCACAUCACUGAGAUUUGCGCCACUCCAUCCAUUGCUGAAAUUCCCAAUCGACAGACAAGUGGUAGAUUACAAAAAAAGUCUUGUUUACUUUGUGUGCGUGUGUGUGUGCGUGUGUAUGUGUGUGUGUGUGUGUGUGAGCAUAUAACGAUGUAUGUGUUUGCACCUCCAAUAGUAACUAUCAAAGUUUCAAAAAAAACCGAUAGAAGCCCCGAGGAGGACACAGGACCGACCCAAGGGGGUCAAAAUUGGAUCGUUAUUGCAGUAGCAUAGCGACUUUCUUGCUCAAAUCAGGAAGAUUCCCUCGUCCUGUACACCAUAAAAUGAAGAGGACAAGAGCGAGUAUAAAAAGACGUAAAUCUCUUCUGCGUAAAUGGCUGGACUUACAUCCACUAUCUGGUGUUAGAAGAAUAUUUACCCUUCUUUCCGACAAAAAACUUCAUUGUCAGGCAGAGAGCGUGUGCGAUCUCGAUGCGUCUCCGUCUAGUGAGGUAGCGGUUGAAGUGAAACUCCUUUUCCAGCUCCAGGGUCUGAUACCGAGUGUAAGUCUGACGUCCCCUCUUCCUGUCUGAAGCUGCACCAUGAUCAAGGAGCGGAAUCGAAACAAACGGCGAAACAGUGAGGAAGAAAAUGAAAUUACCAACAAUGCAGGAACAGCAUUCUAGCUAAACAGUCGGCAUUGCUAUUUCCUGUACUCUACUUCUGCCACUAAUUUCAGCGUAGUGUCCCGAAUAUUCUCCGUGACAGAUACAAUAAAUUACUGUCGGAAACUAACUGAUUACAAUCAAUGUAAAGUUUGUAAUAAUGCUUUAUAAAGUAGACGGCGAUGACUCUAUAUAGGGAAGUAUUUAAACUGUUUACACGGCACUUACAGGUCUGAGACAACUGUCAUGUUAUGAAACUCAGAAGCAUGUUGACUUUAAUUUUUUUAUUCAACAAUUAUUUAAAACAAGGAAGCAUGUAUCAGCUUAACAGCUAUAAUCUAUUGAUGGAUGAUCAUUGUCCUACAUCCUUACCGCACUCUGCAUAUGGUGAAUUAAUAUUAUGUAACUUAAAAUUGACAGGUAGUUAUGAAAUGGAUACUGUUAUUUGUUUUAAAGCACAAUACAGUGGUACAUUUUGUCUGAAUGGUCCUGCAAGAAAGCACCAAUCUCCAAACUCGGCAAAGAUUCCCGAACUUUGCACUUCACCAAACAUUCGGAAGAAAAGGAGACCAGUGCGGAAUAGGCACUGGAAAAAGCCUCUCGCUUGUUUGGUGGAAGAUAACUGUUUAAAUAGGAGAACGGAGCUCCCUCCUCUUCCCCUGCCCCAAACCACCCCUCUUUCACACCAUUACCGCUGCCGUAUCGUAUGUAUUGCAUAACCACAAACUGCCGCAUUGGUUUGACUGGGCCAACACAACGGUAGGCUGUACAUUUAAGUAAUUCCCAUUGAACAGAAAUAUCCUGAUAAAUUUUUAAUGCUAGUUUUUGCACUUUUUGUAGCCUCCAUUUGUCAUCUUCUUACCAUCCUUGAUCUAUUCCGCUUCAAUCAACACAAGCAAUUCCCCCAACCCACCCCAGUUCUCUCCACCACCAAACCUCCCUCCCUUUGCAGCCGCUUCCAUAAUACAAAAAGCGUACCGCAACUUCUAAAGACAGAGGGGAUCUUUGAGUAGCAGAGGACUUGCAAUUAAUAGGAAUGAACAGAAAAAGAGGGCGAUUUAGAUCUCAUGGGAUCCUUCGGAUACAAUAUUGCUUUUGAUGGAAUUAAGAGUUGGCGAAAAUGUAAGGGAACGGUUUUUUUUUGACGUGUCGGACUGAGUUGUCCCACAACAUAAAGUGCAGAUCCUUAUUUGAGGUUUUAUUUUCAGAUAGAUUUGGCAAUUUGUCACAUGGAGCUAAUAAUAUAUAUUAUAGUCAGCGAUUUGAUUGAUUCUGGGUGUGAGUGCAUUGCAUUUUAUACCCCUGUUUCGUGAACGUCACAAAUGAACACGACAUCCUAAUGCAAUAAAGCAAUUGACGGUCCCUCUAAGAGAACGCAUUUUAUGUGACUUUUCACAUACCUGAGCUCUUCAUCCAAGGAUAGAUCCGGAAGUUCUCGGACUGGGGGUCUGUCUCUCUUUGCUCCGACUUGCUGCAACUCUGCUUGCAGGAGUCCCCUGCGCCACACAUCAGUGAGGAGAGGUUAUGAUCAAAUGAAGAACAGUGCAUGUUAAAGGAGUUCGCGUUGAGGCCAUAAGGAGACGUGUACAUGGUCGGGGACUGGUGGUGCAGGCUGUUAGCUGUGCUGUACAAACCCGGUACAGUGGCUGCGUAAGAAGCCGACCCAGAGCCAUAGCCCGACCGCUGGGAGUUUGAGGCAAAGGCGCAAGAAGUUGGUUCCGAAAAAACCCCCGAUGGAAAAACAGAAGUUCCAGCUGUAUAUUUCGAAAAUAAAGCAUUCGCAUAAUACAAUGAACUCAUAAUUUGGCUGGUGAUUUGUAGGCCGGGACGUUUCAGUGUCGGUUUUACGAGGUACGGUGAUAUAUUACGGAAUUAGAGUCCAGAUUUACACCAAAAGAACCCCCUUUUUCCUCCCGAUGCACGUGAUAUCGGCACGUGAUAUGGCGGGCCAAUGAGAAUCGGGCUACCCGCGGCUUCUUUGGAUGAUAAAAAAAUUCUCUAAUCAAAA